Molecule: ribosomal RNA, 292 nt
Filed under: uncultured bacterium
Lineage: Bacteria
Description: partial 16S ribosomal RNA
Rfam family: Bacterial small subunit ribosomal RNA
Source: RNAcentral
GUGUCAGCCGCCGCGGUAAUACAGAGGGGGCAAGCGUUAUUCGGAAUUAUUGGGCGUAAAGGGCGCGUAGGCGGCCAUGCAAGUGGCGGGUGAAAUCCCUCGGCUUAACCGAGGAACUGCCUGCCAGACUGCAUGGCUCGAGACCGGGAGAGGUGAGUGGAAUUCCCAGUGUAGCGGUGAAAUGCGUAGAUAUUGGGAGGAACACCAGUGGCGAAGGCGGCUCACUGGACCGGUACUGACGCUGAGGCGCGAAAGCGUGGGGAGCAAACAGGAUUAGAUACCCUAGUAGUCC